This 1249-nucleotide unclassified non-coding RNA is filed under the name Hevea brasiliensis (rubber tree). The record is from RNAcentral. Lineage: Eukaryota; Viridiplantae; Streptophyta; Magnoliopsida; Malpighiales; Euphorbiaceae.
GUUUCUUUAGGGACUCCUUCCUCCAUAUCACUCCUCCAGAUUUGAAUUCCUUCACUUUGAAUGUCACAUUUCUCUUUCGCAUUAGAACCAAACUGUUCUCCCUGAGUAUUCUUUUUCCGAUUCAUCGAUAUUUGGAUGGGAACACUGACUGGAAUUUUUCCUUUAUUGAGGGAUAUUCGAUGGAUUUCAAGGUGAACAGAGACUGAGCUUCCUUCUACCAAAGGUUUCUGUCAUCUCCGCAUUUAAUUGAUCAGAUGGCCUUAGGAGUAGAGUUAACGCAAGCGAUAAAGGAGUGUGAGCAUGACACGCGGAACCAGUCUCAACGGUUUGGUCCAUCGAUCUCCAGGAACUUUCCUUCUGCAAAACAUGAAUUCCUACCUGAUCAGUUAGGGAAGCAGUGAUCCUUAAAUUCUCUCUUGGAUUCUGAUUCUGUGGAGCUUUGGCUACCAUCCACGCUUUAAAUUUUAAGUUGGUUCCACCAUCUACCCCUUGAUUCACCAUUUCAGCUUUCUCCGUACAGUUCCUGCUAAUAUGCCCAAUCUGUCCACAGAAGUAGCAAAACACAGGCAGUCUUUCAUACUUAACCUUAAUCCAGUCUUUUUGGCCACCUUCUCUCGGUAGAUGAAACCCAGCUAUCAAUGGUUUAUCGGUGUUGAGCCAUACUUUGAUUCAGAAGAACAUUGCCCGUAUAUUUGAGUUAGUCAAAACAUCAUCCACCUUGAGAAGCCCUUCAAAUAAACCCCUAAUUCGUCUGGCAUUCUCUUCAAUCCACAUAGAUGGUGGAAGUCCAAAGAUCUGGACCCAAGCAAUGAUUGGAAAAUCAACAGCACGGAUCGCCUUGUAUGGUGGCCAUUUUUGAAGGGAAAAAAAAGGCUAUUGUCAAUAGACCAUGGCCCAUCUUCAACAAUUUUAUCAACCUCCUGCUCAGAUGCAAACGCUAAAAUAAAAAUUCCAUCUGGUCGUCUUCUCACUUGAAACUCAGUUUUUACCUUCCAUAUCUUGGACAUAGUGGAUUUGAUAACCCAAGGCGUAUAUUUCUUUGUAGAAAUGAUCUUUGCCAAUAGCUUGUUGUUUGUAAUAUGGCAUUUCUGAAUCUGUAGACGGAUGUAAAUCCAGAAUUGGUUCACUGCAGCUGAGAUUCUCUGUCAUUCUGAUAAGUCGCAGAACUUGAGUGAGGAGAAGUAGGUGGAUGAAGUAAGGGCUAUGUUGAUUAUCUUUAGGUAAGUGAAAAACCAUAAGAGGGAUCUUG